This 600-nucleotide ribosomal RNA is filed under the name uncultured Gammaproteobacteria bacterium. RNAcentral describes it as "bacterial SSU rRNA". It matches the Rfam family "Bacterial small subunit ribosomal RNA", at positions 54 to 664 of the family's 1533-position model. Lineage: Bacteria; Pseudomonadati; Pseudomonadota; Gammaproteobacteria. The record is from RNAcentral.
CAUGCAAGUCGAACGAGAAAGUUCCUUCGGGGACUAGUAAAGUGGCGCAAGGGUGAGUAACACGUGAAUAAUCUGCCUUCAAAACUGGGAUAACUUGACGAAAGUUAAGCUAAUACCGGAUAAGACCACGCUUCACAAGGAGUGCGGUAAAAGGGAUCUCAAAUCCUGUUUGAAGAUGAGUUCGCGUACCAUUAGCUUGUUGGUGAGAUAACAGCUCACCAAGGCUACGAUGGUUAGCCGGCCUGAGAGGGUGAUCGGCCACACUGGAACUGAGACACGGUCCAGACUCCUACGGGAGGCAGCAGUGGGGAAUCUUGCGCAAUGGGCGAAAGCCUGACGCAGCAACGCCGCGUGAGCGAUGAAGGCCUUCGGGUCGUAAAGCUCUGUCAAGUGGGAAGAACAUAAUGACGGUACCACUAGAGGAAGCCCCGGCUAACUUCGUGCCAGCAGCCGCGGUAAUACGAAGGGGGCAAGCGUUGUUCGGAAUUAUUGGGCGUAAAGCGUAUGUAGGUGGUCUUUCAAGUCAGACGUGCAAGCCCUCGGCUCAACCGAGGAAUUGCGUUUGAAACUGAUUGACUUGAGUAUAGGAGAGGAAAGCGG